Molecule: ribosomal RNA, 819 nt
Filed under: Triticum aestivum (bread wheat)
Lineage: Eukaryota; Viridiplantae; Streptophyta; Magnoliopsida; Poales; Poaceae
Description: partial small subunit ribosomal RNA
Source: RNAcentral
AUGGCGCAUUCUCUCCGGUGCUGCCCAGCCGGGGCUGCGAUCCGUCGGUCGUUAUCCACGCGCGCCGGCAGUUUCCUCGGAGGCCACAAUUAUAGCAGCGGUAGAAUAAGCGUGAAGAUGGCUCGCGUUUCACCUUCCUCCGCUCCGGAACCCUUGCCGGCGUUGCCGCCUUUGCCGUGGUGGGCGGAGGACAUGCUUGCGGAGGACGACGAUUACUUCCCCCUCACGGACGUGGAUCCGCCCGGACAGGGACGGGAAGAGCUGAGUGCCAUAUGGGGCGCACUCGUCGCCUCCCCGCUCGAAUCCACCUCCCUCGCGCUGCGCGAAAUCGUGGCCGCCGGCAACGUCUUCCGCUGCCGCAGCUUCCACGCCGGCGUCCUCUCUGGUGCAUUGUUAGUACUCGCCGGUGUCUGCCAACUCUGGCAGGUGGCACCUACCCUUUUUCUGGACGUUGUUCUCGGAUAUAUGUUCUACAGGUUGAGUGCCUUAGCAGCAGAGUUGAAAAGGAAUGGCAGGGCAAAUGAUAUCUGUGCACGAAUACAACUAGUUCUUCUACUUAUAUUGUCUUUCAAGGACAACAGUGCUUAUCAGGGUUUUUACGGUGUUCUUGUGGAUUGGAUCUGGACGCUUAAUAUAUAUCUGUACAUCAUAACGGUGUACUAUGAAUUCAUGGGCAUAAAGCACCUCAGAAUCUAUUGGCUUGGGAUUUACAGAACUCUGCGGACCAAAGGUGGCCUGACAAAGGUGGUGAAGCUUACCAUGCGUGAUAUGUUUGGAUGGAUCAAAGAGCGCUACCAGGAUGAUUCAAAUGAUGGGUGA